UUUCAUUUCUAUUGUUCGCUUUGU
RNAcentral lists this non-coding RNA (24 nucleotides) under Arabidopsis thaliana (thale cress). Lineage: Eukaryota; Viridiplantae; Streptophyta; Magnoliopsida; Brassicales; Brassicaceae. The record is from RNAcentral.